AACGAACGCUGGCGGCAUGCCUAACACAUGCAGGUCGAACGAGACCUUCGGGUCUAGUGGCGCACGGGUGCGUAACGCGUGGGAACCUGCCCUUAGGUUCGGAAUAACUCCCCGAAAGGGGUGCUAAUACCGGAUAAUGUCUUCGGACCAAAGAUUUAUCGCCUUUGGAUGGGCCCGCGUUGGAUUAGCUAGUUGGUAGGGUAAAAGCCUACCAAGGCGACGAUCCAUAGCUGGUCUGAGAGGAUGAUCAGCCACACUGGGACUGAGACACUGCCCAGACUCCUACGGGAGGCAGCAGUGGGGAAUAUUGGACAAUGGGCGAAAGCCUGAUCCAGCAAUGCCGCGUGAGUGAUGAAGGCCUUAGGGUUGUAAAGCUCUUUUACCCGGGAUGAUAAUGACAGUACCGGGAGAAUAAGCUCCGGCUAACUCCGUG
Molecule: ribosomal RNA, 433 nt
Filed under: uncultured bacterium
Lineage: Bacteria
Description: partial 16S ribosomal RNA
Rfam family: Bacterial small subunit ribosomal RNA
Source: RNAcentral